Molecule: long non-coding RNA, 543 nt
Organism: Ictalurus punctatus (channel catfish)
Lineage: Eukaryota; Metazoa; Chordata; Actinopteri; Siluriformes; Ictaluridae
Source: Ensembl
AUUGGAGUGUAGUUUUUACUGGAGUGUAGUUUUUAUUGGAGUAUAGUUUUUAUUGGAGUGUAGUUUUUAUUGGAGUGUAGUUUUUACUGGAGUGUAUUUUUUAUUGGAGUAUAGUUUUUAUUGGAGUGUAGUUUUUAUUGGAGUAUAUUUUUUAUUGGAGUGUAGUUUUUAUUGGAGUAUAUUUUUUAUUGGAGUAUAGUUUUUAUUGGAGUAUAGUUUUUAUUGGAGUGUAGUUUUUUUAAAUUGGAGUAUAGUUUUUAUUGGAGUAUAGUUUAUUUAUUGUAGUAUAGUUUUUUAUUGUAGUAUAGUUUUUUUUAUAUUGGAGUAUAGUUUUUUAUUGCAGCAGAGCAGAAUCAAAAACAUCAAAGGGUGGUGGGGGGUUGGCCACAUCUGAUUUUUAACAUCUAUAGUGGUUACAAGCCAAGCAAUAUCACGGCACAGCUGAUUCACAUUUAGCCAUGCCUACAAAACUCCACAGAGUGAGCUGAAAGACUCCACGUUAUGACUAAACGAUGAAAGAGUGCCACUAAAGUGCGGCGUGCA